RNAcentral lists this transfer RNA (58 nucleotides) under Hemiselmis tepida. It matches the Rfam family "tRNA", at positions 8 to 63 of the family's 71-position model. Rfam says of the family: Transfer RNA (tRNA) molecules are approximately 80 nucleotides in length. Their secondary structure includes four short double-helical elements and three loops (D, anti-codon, and T loops). Further hydrogen bonds mediate the characteristic L-shaped molecular structure. tRNAs have two regions of fundamental functional importance: the anti-codon, which is responsible for specific mRNA codon recognition, and the 3' end, to which the tRNAs corresponding amino acid is attached (by aminoacyl-tRNA synthetases). tRNAs cope with the degeneracy of the genetic code in two manners: having more than one tRNA (with a specific anti-codon) for a particular amino acid; and 'wobble' base-pairing, i.e. permitting non-standard base-pairing at the 3rd anti-codon position. Lineage: Eukaryota; Cryptophyceae; Cryptomonadales; Hemiselmidaceae. The record is from RNAcentral.
UAGCUUAAGGGUAAAGCAUUUGGCUGUUAACCAAAAAAUUAUAAGUUCAAAUCUUAUC